RNAcentral lists this ribosomal RNA (351 nucleotides) under uncultured bacterium. Its description in RNAcentral is "partial 16S ribosomal RNA". It matches the Rfam family "Bacterial small subunit ribosomal RNA", at positions 338 to 686 of the family's 1533-position model. The record is from RNAcentral.
CCUACGGGAGGCAGCAGUGGGGAAUAUUGCACAAUGGGCGAGAGCCUGAACCAGCCAAGUCGCGUGAGGGAUGAAGGAUCUAUGGUUUGUAAACUUCUUUUAUAUGGGAAUAAAGUGCGGCACGUGUUCCUUUUUGUAUGUACCAUAUGAAUAAGCAUCGGCUAAAUCCGUGCCAGCAGCCGCGGUAAUACGGAGGAUGCGAGCGUUAUCCGGAUUUAUUGGGGUUAAAGGGUGCGUAGUUGGUUAAUUAAGUCAGCGGUGAAAGUUUGUGGCUCAACCCUAAAAGUGCCGUUGAAACUGGUGGACCUGAGGAGAGGUGAGGUAGGCGGAAUGCGUGGGGUAGAGGUGAAA